GACGAACGCUGGCGGCGUGCUUAACACAUGCAAGUCGAACGAUGAAGCUGGAGCUUGCUCCGGUGGAUUAGUGGCGAACGGGUGAGUAACACGUGAGAAAUCUGCCCUUGACUCUGGAAUAACUGCGGGAAACUGUAGCUAAUAUCGGAAAUUUUCCUUGGUGGGCAUCCACUGGGGAAGAAAGAAUUUCGGUCAAGGAUGAUCUCGCGGCCUAUCAGCUAGUUGGUGAGGUAAUGGCUCACCAAGGCGACGACGGGUAGCGGGCCUGAGAGGGUGACCGGCCACACUGGGACUGAGACACGGCCCAGACUCCUACGGGAGGCAGCAGUGGGGAAUAUUGCACAAUGGGCGCAAGCCUGAUGCAGCAACGCCGCGUGAGGGAUGAAGGCCUUCGGGUUGUAAACCUCUUUUAGCAGGGAAGAAGCGAAAGUGACGGUACCUGCAGAAAAAGCACCGGCUAACUACGUGCCAGCCGCCGCAGUAA
RNAcentral lists this ribosomal RNA (484 nucleotides) under uncultured bacterium. RNAcentral's name for it is "partial 16S ribosomal RNA". It matches the Rfam family "Bacterial small subunit ribosomal RNA", at positions 28 to 523 of the family's 1533-position model. The record is from RNAcentral.